RNAcentral lists this ribosomal RNA (392 nucleotides) under Paracoccus sp. R-26899. RNAcentral describes it as "bacterial SSU rRNA". It matches the Rfam family "Bacterial small subunit ribosomal RNA", at positions 20 to 440 of the family's 1533-position model. The record is from RNAcentral. Lineage: Bacteria; Pseudomonadati; Pseudomonadota; Alphaproteobacteria; Rhodobacterales; Paracoccaceae.
UGGCUCAGAACGAACGCUGGCGGCAGGCCUAACACAUGCAAGUCGAGCGAGACCUUCGGGUCUAGCGGCGGACGGGUGAGUAACGCGUGGGAAUGUGCCCUUCUCUACGGAAUAGCCUCGGGAAACUGGGAGUAAUACCGUAUACGCCCUUUGGGGGAAAGAUUUAUCGGAGAAGGAUCAGCCCGCGUUGGAUUAGGUAGUUGGUGGGGUAAUGGCCUACCAAGCCGACGAUCCAUAGCUGGUUUGAGAGGAUGAUCAGCCACACUGGGACUGAGACACGGCCCAGACUCCUACGGGAGGCAGCAGUGGGGAAUCUUAGACAAUGGGGGCAACCCUGAUCUAGCCAUGCCGCGUGAGUGAUGAAGGCCUUAGGGUUGUAAAGCUCUUUCAGC